RNAcentral lists this ribosomal RNA (396 nucleotides) under uncultured bacterium. Its description in RNAcentral is "partial 16S ribosomal RNA". It matches the Rfam family "Bacterial small subunit ribosomal RNA", at positions 523 to 918 of the family's 1533-position model. The record is from RNAcentral.
AUACGGAGGGUGCAAGCGUUAAUCGGAAUUACUGGGCGUAAAGCGCACGCAGGCGGUUUGUUAAGUCAGAUGUGAAAUUCCCGGGCUCAACCUGGGAACUGCAUCUGAUACUGGCAAGCUUGAGUCUCGUAGAGGGGGGUAGAAUUCCAGGUGUAGCGGUGAAAUGCGUAGAGAUCUGGAGGAAUACCGGGGGCGAAGGCGGCCCCCUGAACGAAGACUGACGAUCAGGUGCGAAAGCGGGGGGAGCAAACAGGAUUAUAUACCCUGGUAUGCGACGCCGUAAACGAUGUCGACUUGGAGGUUGUGCCCUUGAGGCGUGGCUUCCGGAGCUAACGCGUUAAGUAGACCGCCUGGGGAGUACGGCCGCAAGGUUAAAACUCAAAUGAAUUGACGGGG